AGCAGGGUGGCCUAGUGGAAAGGGCGCGGGCCUGAGCGUCAGAGGACUGGGUUCUAAUCUCGGCUCUGCCA
This 71-nucleotide transfer RNA is filed under the name Ornithorhynchus anatinus (platypus). It matches the Rfam family "tRNA". From Rfam's summary of the family: Transfer RNA (tRNA) molecules are approximately 80 nucleotides in length. Their secondary structure includes four short double-helical elements and three loops (D, anti-codon, and T loops). Lineage: Eukaryota; Metazoa; Chordata; Mammalia; Monotremata; Ornithorhynchidae. The record is from Rfam by way of RNAcentral.